Molecule: ribosomal RNA, 493 nt
Filed under: uncultured bacterium
Lineage: Bacteria
Description: partial 16S ribosomal RNA
Rfam family: Bacterial small subunit ribosomal RNA
Source: RNAcentral
AGUGAACGCUGGCGGUAGGCCUAACACAUGCAAGUCGAACGGCAGCACAGUAAGAGCUUGCUCUUACGGUUGGCGAGUGGCGGACGGGUGAGGAAUACAUCGGAAUCUACUUUUUCGUGGGGGAUAACGUAGGGAAACUUACGCUAAUACCGCAUACGACCUACGGGUGAAAGCAGGGGAUCUUCGGACCUUGCGCGACUGAAUGAGCCGAUGUCGGAUUAGCUAGUUGGCGGGGUAAAGGCCCACCAAGGCGACGCUCCGUAGCUGGUCUGAGAGGAUGGUCAGCCACCCUGGAACUGGGACACGGUCCAGACUCCUACGGGAGGCAGCAGUGGGGAAUAUUGGACAAUGGGCGCAAGCCUGAUCCAGCCAUACCGCGUGGGUGAAGAAGGCCUUCGGGUUGUAAAGCCCUUUUGUUGGGAAAGAAAAGCAGCAGGUUAAUACCCCGCUGUUCUGACGGUACCCAAAGAAUAAGCACCGGCUAACUUCGUGC